UGCCUCCUGCAGAGUAUAAUUGUAUGCGUUGCUGACAGCAGUUCUGUCCAGCUUGUUCCUGGUUGCAGGAUGGACGCCUUGCCUGUUUAUCACGGGAAGAUCAGCCGGGAGACUGGAGAGAGGCUUCUAGGGGCUGCUGGAAAGGAUGGCAGCUAUUUAAUUCGUGACAGCGAGUCUGUGUCUGGGGUUUACUGCCUCUGUGUGUUGUGUAAGGGGUUUGUGUACACGUACAGAUUGUGCCAGACAGAUGGGGGCUCCUGGUCUGCCGAGACCGCUCCUGGCGUUCAAAAGCGUCUCUUUCGGAAGAUAAAGAACUUGAUUGUGGCCUAUCAUAAACCGGGCCAGGGCUUAGCGAUGCCUCUGCUCUACCCUGUUAACAAAGAAAACAACUACACCACCAGCCAACCCAUGACUGGAAACGGUAUGCCAACAUAAUUGCAUUUAGAAGCAUCUCUAAGGACUGCUGCCCUUAAUUAAAAUGCUGUCCUAGGGUGGAGACACUGGAGAAGAUUACCUUUUUAUGCACCCAGCUUCAUAGGCAAAUUCAAUAUAUUCUGUAUACGUGCGUCCUCAUGGAUAACAUCUUGGAUAUUUUUUUUAGCUGUUACCAAAUGCGCGAAAACAAUACCAUUAAAAAGAAUGAAGUGUCCUUCGAAUCUCCGUGUGGUGCAAACCACAGCCGCAUGAAAGCCUUUGUUUUGUGCACAGCGGGCGAACUAUUAGAUGUUUUACAGAGACUGUUGGCAGUGCAGCUUCAUUGUUGUGUUUGUCUUCAGCAAGCUGUUGUAUCGAAAUUAAACCUGAAGAAAAAGUUGGGCGAGCGCUAAUGCAAUGCAUUGCCUCACAGACCCGCAAGAGGCUAUUCAAGAGGAGCUGAUGCAUUAGUGGUGUUAUUAGCUUGCCAUUGUGCCCUCCUACUGCAUGUAUAAAAUAGCACCCUCCGGGCAGGAAUCCAUUGAUACUACACCUUGCUGAGCUGCACAGCCCUAUUGCAAUUACAGUGUCAUUGCAACUCCACCCUGUAUUAACAAAGCUAAUGACUUCAACAAGGUAUCAAGAAUGGGACGAUGUCCUGAACCUGUAGGAAGCUGAAUGGCAUUUGGAAGGUUUCUUGUUCAAGUGUUUGCAUUCUAAUACUGAAGGACACCCGUUUUCAAUAAUGAGGAAUCCACACUGCAAAUUUGUUAAUAAUUAAUUUAGAUACAGUUGAUAGUUUUUUAUGCUGCACAGAUCAUUAUUAUUUUUUUUAACUAUUUAAGCGAUAAAGCUAUUUCUUUGAUUUAACUUGUUUUCGAUUUUGAUAUUGAAAACAGUGUGUUUUCCUAUAUUAUGGAUCCAAAGCAGGGUGUAGCCCCUGUAUUACAUGUCUUAUGCAUUUUGCCUGAGAUUUAUCUUCUAAUGGUUCUCAAUGUGAUUUAAUCUUUAUUGGUAAGACAUUUCAUUUGUAUAUUGCUUAAAUCCAUAUUUUCAAAAUAAAAUUCUCAUUAAAAACAUGA
Acipenser ruthenus (sterlet) is the source of this 1496-nucleotide RNA transcript. It is a transcript of the gene named SH2 domain-containing protein 1A-like, with no coding region annotated. The record is from RefSeq and is a predicted model, not a curated record. The transcript is spliced from 5 exons. Lineage: Eukaryota; Metazoa; Chordata; Actinopteri; Acipenseriformes; Acipenseridae.